This 1177-nucleotide long non-coding RNA is filed under the name Strigops habroptila (Kakapo). RNAcentral's name for it is "lncRNA (ENSSHBG00005012969.1)". Lineage: Eukaryota; Metazoa; Chordata; Aves; Psittaciformes; Psittacidae. The record is from RNAcentral.
AAAAACAUUUAUUUCCACUUACAGAGCAAAAACUUGCCAACAAAAUCAAGUUGAUUGAUUGAUUUUAGUUUUUAUUAAGUCAUCCAGGCCUGCUACAGCCACAGUCUUCAUGUUAAAAUCUACUACAAUUUCAUUUAGCAAACAUUAAAGAAAAUCAUACAAGCAGAUGCCAUACUCUUAAAUUUCUUGAAGCUACAAUUGACUUGUAAUAAAAUCCCCCAGUGCAUUACAAAACAGGGCUGUCAAGUCAUAACAGCUAUAUUACAGCUUCUGCUUCAGUCUCUGCUAGUCUUUGUACAGACUGCCAAAAUUUUCACCUACCCAAGGGAAGUUAUAUUCAACAACAGAGAAGAGGAAAUUGUGCUCAGAUGAGUUGUUCUCUUGCUGAACAGAUUGCACAGGUUGUUCUCUCAUUACUAAAAUGGUGAGGGUGGGGGGCUGAGAGAAAGGGAGAGAAAAGCCACGGACUGAUGAGCAGCAGGAGAGCAAUGUGCAAUUUUGGUUUUUCCCCCACUUUGCAACUCUCACAGUAUGUCAAUAUUUUGUAACAAUAACAAGGCAAGGCUGAGCAACCCAGUGGCAGAGGGACCAUACUGGAUGGGAAUUGGCCCUGAUUCUGGCAUUAGCAGAAUUAAUGUCCACCUGGGACACUCACAGCAACUCUUGUUAUUUGCCCGUGCCUCCAUACCAGGGAAAUAGGAACAGUGAUACUUGUCUUUUAGACCAAAGACUUUUCAAGAGUAGGGGCGGGGAGUGCUGUGUGACUACGGGUGAAUCAUGCAGUCUGAAGCCAAAAAGACAGCGAGGUUUUCUGCCUUCAUCCACGCCUCAUUUACACCAAAUAAUUUUUGUGAGAUCCCAAUCUACCACUUUCUUAAAAGACAUCAGUGACAAAGGUUUCAUGACUGCUUUUGCUGCUGAUACUGAAACAUAGCUAGCAUUCGAGUGAAAACUUCUGAAUUAUUCAACAGCUACACCCAUCAUUGUAUUUGUUUUUCUAUUUCCUAUGAUUUAAUCAGCUCUACCCUCUUAUAAAGCUGACUUAACACACAUUGGAAAGUUUGAACAAAAGGAAGAAAAUCUCCAGUUGUUAGGUUACAAAGUGGGCCUGAGAUCUUCCAAAAUGCUAUGACAAAACCAACAAGAACCAAAGCUACUGAGCUCUUAACUAAGUCAG